This 273-nucleotide ribosomal RNA is filed under the name uncultured bacterium. RNAcentral describes it as "partial 16S ribosomal RNA". It matches the Rfam family "Bacterial small subunit ribosomal RNA", at positions 524 to 796 of the family's 1533-position model. The record is from RNAcentral.
UACAGAGGGGGCAAGCGUUAUUCGGAAUUAUUGGGCGUAAAGGGCGCGUAGGCGGCCUUGCAAGUGACGGGUGAAAUCCCUCGGCUUAACCGAGGAACUGCCUGUCAGACUGCUUGGCUUGAGACCGGGAGAGGUGAGUGGAAUUCCCAGUGUAGCGGUGAAAUGCGUAGAUAUUGGGAGGAACACCAGUGGCGAAGGCGGCUCACUGGACCGGUACUGACGCUGAGGCGCGAAAGCGUGGGGAGCAAACAGGAUUAGAAACCCCCGUAGUCC